Molecule: ribosomal RNA, 513 nt
Filed under: uncultured bacterium
Lineage: Bacteria
Description: partial 16S ribosomal RNA
Rfam family: Bacterial small subunit ribosomal RNA
Source: RNAcentral
GAUGAACGCUGGCGGCGUGCCUAAUACAUGCAAGUCGAGCGAACAGACGAGGAGCUUGCUCCUCUGACGUUAGCGGUGGACGGGUGAGUAACACGUGGAUAACCUACCUAUAAGACUGGGAUAACUUCGGGAAACCGGAGCUAAUACCGGAUAACGUGUUGAACCGCAUGGUUCAACAGUGAAAGACGGUCUUGCUGUCACUUAUAGAUGGAUCCGCGCCGCAUUAGCUAGUUGGUAAGGUAACGGCUUACCAAGGCAACGAUGCGUAGCCGACCUGAGAGGGUGAUCGGCCACACUGGAACUGAGACACGGUCCAGAAUCCUACGGGAGGCAGCAGUAGGGAAUCUUCCGCAAUGGGCGAAAGCCUGACGGAGCAACGCCGCGUGAGUGAAGAAGGUCUUCGGAUCGUAAAACUCUGUUAUUAGGGAAGAACAAAUGUGUAAGUAACUAUGCACGCCUUGACGGUACCUAAUCAGAAAGCCACGGCUAACUACGUGCCAGCCGCCGCCGUAA